AGUGGAUCGGACAGUCGCGGCGGCAAGGCGAAAGCCUGUCGAUGAGGAAAGUCCGGGCUCCACAGGGCAAGGAUAACGGGUAACGCCCGCCGAAGGCGACUUCAGGAAAAGUGCAACAGAGAUAUACCGCCUCGUAUGAGGUAAGGGUGGAAAGGUGAAGGUAAGAGCUCACCCGACGGCGUGGAAGCGUCCGUCGCUGUAAACUCUAUCCGGAGCAACACCGGUAUGGGGACAUUGGCUGGCCCGGCCGUCCCCGGGGUGGCUUGAGUGUGCCGGCAACGGUACGCCUAGAUAGAUGACUGUCAAGACAGAACCCGGCUUACAGAUCGGCUCG
Molecule: RNase P RNA, 334 nt
Filed under: human gut metagenome
Description: Bacterial RNase P class A
Rfam family: Bacterial RNase P class A
About the family: Ribonuclease P (RNase P) is a ubiquitous endoribonuclease, found in archaea, bacteria and eukarya as well as chloroplasts and mitochondria. Its best characterised activity is the generation of mature 5'-ends of tRNAs by cleaving the 5'-leader elements of precursor-tRNAs. Cellular RNase Ps are ribonucleoproteins.
Source: RNAcentral